GAGCUCACAAGAUCCUUGACCAGUGCACACUGCCGCUGACGGGAAAGAAAUGUGUGGACCGUAUCAUCACAGAGAAGGCUGUGUUUGACGUUGUGGAGAAUGAGGGUCUGUGUCUGAUUGAGAUUGCUGACGGACUGUCAGUCACCGACAUCCAGAACUGUACCGGCUGUCAGUUCACCGUGUCACCGAGCCUGGGGCCGAUUCAGCAAGUCUAGCAGGCCUGCGAGGCGAGGUUGGGGGGUGUGGGGGCAGUGAGCCCCACAGCCCUCCCAGCGAGGACAAGGAAGCCAACAGCCUCCACUGCUGACCCGACCAGCGACUGACUAACAGACUGACGCACAUUCUUAUUUAAGUUGAUCGAGGAAUUAAAAAGGGACUUUUUUAGUGUA
Molecule: long non-coding RNA, 389 nt
Organism: Callorhinchus milii (elephant shark)
Lineage: Eukaryota; Metazoa; Chordata; Chondrichthyes; Chimaeriformes; Callorhinchidae
Exons: 3
Source: RefSeq, a predicted model, not a curated record